Oncorhynchus keta (chum salmon) is the source of this 893-nucleotide long non-coding RNA. RefSeq lists it as uncharacterized. The record is from RefSeq and is a predicted model, not a curated record. NCBI's taxonomy places the organism in Eukaryota, Metazoa, Chordata, Actinopteri, Salmoniformes, Salmonidae. The transcript is spliced from 3 exons.
UGGGGUGAUUGACUGGAGUGAUUGACUGGAGUGAUUGACUGGAGUGAUUGACUGAGGUGAUUGACUGGGUGAUUGACUGGAGUGAUUGACUGGAGUGAUUGACUGGAGUGAUUGACUGGAGUGAUUGACUGGAGUGAUUGACUGGGGUGAUUGACUGGAGUGAUUGACUGGAGUGAUUGACUGGAGUGAUUGACUGGAGUGAUUGACUGGAGUGAUUGACUGGAGUGAUUGACUGGAGUGAUUGACUGGAGUGAUUGACUGGGGUGAUUGACUGGAGUGAUUGACUGGAGUGAUUGACUGGAGUGAUUGACUGAGGUGAUUGACUGGAGUGAUUGACUGGAGUGAUUGACUGGUUUGGUUGACUGGUUUGAUUGACUGGUUUGAUCGACUGGCGUAAUUGACUGGCUUGAUUUACUGGUUUGCUGCAGACAUUUUUUGGUACCCUUCCCCAGAUCUGUGCCUCGACACCAUCCUGUCUCGGAGCUCUACGGACAAUUCCUUCAACCUCAUGGUUUGGUUUUUGCUCUGACAUGCAGUGUCAACUAUAGGACCUUAUAUAGACAGGUGUGUGCCUUGACAAAUCAUGUCCAAUCAAUUGAAUUUAUCACAGCUGGACUCCAAUCAAGUUGUAGAGACAUCUCAAGGACGAUCAAUGGAAACAGUAAGCAGCUGAUCUCAAUUUAGAGUCUCAUAGCAAAGGGUCUGAAUACUUUUGUAACUACGGUAUUUCUGUUUUUUAUUUCUAAAAACUUCUUUUCUCUUUGUCGUUAUGGGGUGUUGUGUGUAGAUUGAUGAGGAUAAAAAUUAAUUGUAUACAUUUUAGAAUAACAGGCUGACUACACCGCUCGCGUUGCAAAAUACAUUUAGAAAUCUAUAUUAUUCAAUUAUUGCAC